UAUAUUAAGCUUAUUUCAAAGAUUAAGCCAUGCAAAUCUAAGAACAAAUCGUACUCGCAAGGGUAUGAUAUUUCAUCUGUACACAGCUCCAUAAAUGAUUUAUAAGCGUCUCUAGUUGUGUAAUUUAUAAGGAUAACGCAACUAAAUGUAUCGAUAAUACUUGAGAAAUCAAUAUUAUUGCUAAGAGGAAUUUGUGAUAUUUUACUGGGGCAACCUGGUGAUUUACCAAUUGGACAAUUAGACGCAUUUAUCACCCAUCAAUUAGAUAACUGUUUCGAUAACAGCUAUGAUUAUUACGGGUACAGAGAAUCGGGGUUUGAUUCUGGAGAAGGAGCCUGAGAAAUAGCUACUAGUGCCAUGACAUGCAGCAGGCGCGAAAAUUACCCAAUGAUAAUAUCUUAUCGAGGUAGUGACAAGAAAUAAGCACUAUUCCUUAAUUAGGAAUAGGUACUGGUUUAUUUAUCGGUUUACAAUGGUUCCGUAUUAGACUUACGGGAGAGUAACAAUUGGAGGGAAAGUCAGAUGCCAGCAGCCGCGGUAAUAUCUGCUCCAUUAGUAUAAUAUAAUAUUGCUGCAGUUAAAACGUUCGUAGUCGCUGUAAUAAGAAUGAUGAGGUAGCCGACUUUGCUGAUCUAUGAUGAUUUUGGCUAACGCUGAGAUUGUUGUGGCUUAACGGGGGGUAGCAAUACUCUAUUGGCUUUGUCAUAGUGGAAUUAUAGUAUAGCUCUGUUCUUCGGGAUGGGGUGAGCUAUGAAACCAUGGUUAUUUUAUUGUUUUUAGAUUAAUCCUGUGAGCAAAUUAAUGCGAUCAAAGGAUGAUUAGUGAUAACUAUCUCGCAAGGGAUGGUUAUUGUGAUGUAACAUAGUUUAGCAUAGAACCCGCUAUUCCAGCUAUUGUUGUAGUUGGUAGAGGUUAUAAAGCCAGGAGCAAGUAACUCGUACUAAUUGACGAGGGGUGAAAUCCGUAUAGUCAAUUAAGACGUCCAAAGGCGAAAGCAAGUUACAGGUACUGGCUUGUUGAUGAGGAACGAGAGUUGGGGGAGCAAAGAUGAUUAGAUACCGUCGUAGUCCCAACUGUAAACUAUACAAAUUAGAGAUUGUAUAGAACCUAUUACUAGAUUUAUACAGUAUCCCAGAGAAAUCACAAAUUUUUGUGUUCUUGGGGUAGUAUAUUCGCAAGAACGAAACUUAAAGGAAUUGACGGAAAUUCACCACCAGGAGUGGAUUCUGCGGCUUAAUUUGACUCAACGCGUGGAAACUUACCAGAACAAGACUAUAGUAUGAUUGACAAGCUAAUGACUUUUCUUGAUUUGUAGAAUAGUGGUGCAUGGUCGUUUUCAGUUCGUGAAUUAGUUUGUCUACUUAAUUGUGAUAACGAGCGAGACCUCCGUAUUUAAUUAGCAACUUCUUAUUAAUAUUACUUUAAUGAGUAUCGUGUAGGUAGCAAUAUCUACAUACUUCUUAGAUAGACUAUAGGUGAUUAACAAACAAUCUAUGGAAGUUGGAGGCUAUAACAGAUCUGUAAUGCCCUUAUAUAUUCUGGGCGGCACGCGUAAUACAAUGUUUUUGCCAAUAAGAUCAUCAUGUUUAAACAUGAUCCAAACUAGAAAUCUUAAGGGAAACUUGGCAAUUAUAUAUUUCAUAGCUAGGAUUGAGGCUUGUAAGUUCCUCAUGAAUUAGGAAUUCCUAGUAAUCGUAAAUCAACAUUUUGCAAUGAUUACGUCCCUGAGUUUUGUACACACCGCCCGUCGCUCCUACCAAUUGAAUUGGUAGAUAAAAUAGUUGAAUUUAGUACGUAAGUACUGAAGAAGAUUCUUAAAUCUAUAAGUUUGUAGGAAGGAGAAGUCGUAACAAGGUAUUC
RNAcentral lists this ribosomal RNA (1860 nucleotides) under Harpagon schusteri. Its description in RNAcentral is "SSU rRNA". It matches the Rfam family "Eukaryotic small subunit ribosomal RNA". The record is from RNAcentral. Lineage: Eukaryota; Heterolobosea; Eutetramitea; Lyromonadida; Psalteriomonadidae.